GAUGAACGCUGGCGGCGUGCCUAAUACAUGCAAGUCGAGCGAACAGACGAGGAGCUUGCUCCUCUGACGUUAGCGGCGGACGGGUGAGUAACACGUGGAUAACCUACCUAUAAGACUGGGAUAACUUCGGGAAACCGGAGCUAAUACCGGAUAAUAUAUUGAACCGCAUGGUUCAAUAGUGAAAGACGGUUUUGCUGUCACUUAUAGAUGGAUCCGCGCCGCAUUAGCUAGUUGGUAAGGUAACGGCUUACCAAGGCAACGAUGCGUAGCCGACCUGAGAGGGUGAUCGGCCACCCGGGAAGUGAGACACGGUCCAGACUCCUACGGGAGGCAGCAGUAGGGAAUCUUACGCAAAGGGGGAAAGCCUGACGGAGCAACGCGGCGUGAGUGAUGAAGGUCUUCGGAUCGUAAAACUCUGUUAUUAGGGAAGAACAAAUGUGUAAGUAACUAUGCACGUCUUGACGGUACCUAAUCAGAAAGCCACGGCUAACUACGUG
This 497-nucleotide ribosomal RNA is filed under the name uncultured bacterium. RNAcentral describes it as "partial 16S ribosomal RNA". It matches the Rfam family "Bacterial small subunit ribosomal RNA", at positions 28 to 507 of the family's 1533-position model. The record is from RNAcentral.